This 403-nucleotide ribosomal RNA is filed under the name Fusobacteriota bacterium. Its description in RNAcentral is "Fusobacteria bacterium partial 16S ribosomal RNA". It matches the Rfam family "Bacterial small subunit ribosomal RNA", at positions 355 to 776 of the family's 1533-position model. Lineage: Bacteria; Fusobacteriati; Fusobacteriota. The record is from RNAcentral.
UGGGGAAUCUUGCACAAUGGGGGAAACCCUGAUGCAGCGACGCCGCGUGAGCGAUGAAGGUUUUCGAAUCGUAAAGCUCUGUCCUAUGGGAAGUUAAUGACGGUACCAUGGGAGGAAGCCCCGGCUAACUACGUGCCAGCAGCCGCGGUAAUACGUAGGGGGCGAGCGUUGUCCGGAAUUACUGGGCGUAAAGGGUUCGCAGGCGGCAUGGCAAGUCCGAUGUAAAAGGCGAAGGCUCAACCUUCGUAAGCAUCGGAAACUGUCAAGCUUGAGUGAAGGAGAGGCAAGUGGAAUUCCUAGUGUAGCGGUGGAAUGCGUAGAUAGUAGGAGGAAUACCGGUGGCGAAGGCGACUUGCUGGACUUCAACUGACGCUGAGGAACGAAAGCGUGGGUAGCAAACAGG